This 265-nucleotide long non-coding RNA is filed under the name Lathyrus oleraceus (garden pea). RNAcentral describes it as "Pisum sativum (pea) long non-coding RNA (PSAT_LNC010853)". The record is from RNAcentral. Lineage: Eukaryota; Viridiplantae; Streptophyta; Magnoliopsida; Fabales; Fabaceae.
AAAGAUUUAUCAUUGAUAUGCAAACAAUUUAUUUAACCAUAACUUAAAUUUUCACUAGAAAAAUUAAAAUUAAUCUGCAUCCACGGAUUGCUCGGGUCUCAUUCUAGUUAAAGUAAAUACAACAUAUGUUUUUGAUCAGGGAAAUACGGACAUGAGGAUUAUUUGACUGUUCUUCCUAUGAGUUCCAGGCCAAUUGAUGACUUGAUAACUCUCUCAAAUACGUUCAAACAACUUUUCAUUUUGGCCCUUGAUUGUUAGUCUGUUU